RNAcentral lists this ribosomal RNA (484 nucleotides) under uncultured bacterium. Its description in RNAcentral is "partial 16S ribosomal RNA". It matches the Rfam family "Bacterial small subunit ribosomal RNA", at positions 28 to 507 of the family's 1533-position model. The record is from RNAcentral.
AUUGAACGCUGGCGGCAUGCUUUACACAUGCAAGUCGAACGGCAGCGCGUGCUUUGGCCUGUCGGCGAGUGGUGAACGGGUGAGUAAUGCAUCGGAACGUGCCCAGUAGUCGGGGAUAGCCCGGCGAAUGCCGCAUUAAUACCGCAUACGAUCCGCGGUUGAAAGCGGGGGACCUGAAGGCGUUGGGCUACUGUAUCGUCCGAGGUCGGGUUAGCCAGGUGGUGUGGUAAAGGCUUACCAAGGUGAUGACCCGUAGCUGGACUGAGAGGACGACGGGCGACAGUGAGACUGGGACACGGCCCAGACCCCGACGGGAGGCGGCAGUGGGGGAUUUUGAACAAUGGGGGCAACCCUAAGCCAGCCAUGCCGCGUGCGGGAGGAAGGCCUUCGGGUUGUAGACCGCUUUUGUUCGGGAAGAAAUCCUAUGGGCUAAUACCCCAGGGGGAUGACGGUACCGGAAGAAUAAGCACCGGCUAACUACGUG